AGAGCAGAGACAGGUGGUGCAUGGUUGUCGUCAGCUCGUGUCGUGAGAUGUUGGGUUAAGUCCCGCAACGAGCGCAACCCUUACGGUUAGUUGCUACGAAAGAGCACUCUAGCCGGACUGCCGUUGACAAAACGGAGGAAGGCGGGGACGACGUCAAACCAUCAUGCCCCUUACGUUCCGGGCUACACACGUACUACAAUGGCGCAAACAAAGGGAAGCGAGAUCGCGAGAUGGAGCAAACCCCAUAAAAGGCGUCCCAGUUCGGACUGCAGGCUGCAACCCGCCUGCACGAAGUUGGAAUUGCUAGUAAUCGCGGAUCAGCAUGCCGCGGUGAAUACGUUCCCGGGCUUU
Molecule: ribosomal RNA, 351 nt
Filed under: uncultured Oscillospiraceae bacterium
Lineage: Bacteria; Bacillati; Bacillota; Clostridia; Eubacteriales; Oscillospiraceae
Description: bacterial SSU rRNA
Rfam family: Bacterial small subunit ribosomal RNA
Source: RNAcentral